UACGUAGGGGGCAAGCGUUGUCCGGAAUCAUUGGGCGUAAAGAGCGUGUAGGCGGCCAGAUAAGUCCGCUGUGAAAUCUCGAGGCUCAACUUCGAGCUGUCGGUGGAAACUGUCUGGCUAGAGUCCGGAAGAGGAGAAUGGAAUUCCUGGUGUAGCGGUGAAAUGCGCAGAUAUCAGGAAGAACACCCGUGGCGAAGGCGGUUCUCUGGGACGGUACUGACGCUGAGACGCGAAAGCGUGGGGAGCGAACUGG
This 253-nucleotide ribosomal RNA is filed under the name uncultured bacterium. Its description in RNAcentral is "partial 16S ribosomal RNA". It matches the Rfam family "Bacterial small subunit ribosomal RNA", at positions 524 to 776 of the family's 1533-position model. The record is from RNAcentral.